This 253-nucleotide ribosomal RNA is filed under the name uncultured bacterium. RNAcentral describes it as "partial 16S ribosomal RNA". It matches the Rfam family "Bacterial small subunit ribosomal RNA", at positions 524 to 776 of the family's 1533-position model. The record is from RNAcentral.
UACGAAGGGAGCGAGCGUUGUUCGGAAUUACUGGGCGUAAAGGGCGCGUAGGCGGCGACCCAAGUCAGAUGUGAAAGUCCUGGGCUUAACCUGGGGACUGCAUUUGAUACUGGGUUGCUUGAAUUCGGGAGAGGAUAGCGGAAUUCCCAGUGUAGAGGUGAAAUUCGUAGAUAUUGGGAAGAACACCGGUGGCGAAGGCGGCUAUCUGGACCGACAUUGACGCUGAGGCGCGAAAGCGUGGGGAGCAAACAGG